Molecule: long non-coding RNA, 1155 nt
Filed under: Gouania willdenowi (blunt-snouted clingfish)
Lineage: Eukaryota; Metazoa; Chordata; Actinopteri; Blenniiformes; Gobiesocidae
Description: lncRNA (ENSGWIG00000023149.1)
Source: RNAcentral
GUCGCAUGUCGUGCAGCAUCAUCAAAUUAAAUAGUACCACAACACACGCACACACACACACACACACACACACGCACACACACACACACACACACACACACACACACACACACACACACACACACACACACACACACACACACACACACGUGGGAACCAUAAAUAUCCCCCCCUCCCAGCAGGGGGCGGGGCUGCGCUCUGAAACCUGAACCUUCUCCUGAGGAAAGCUGGAGAUCUAAACUGGACCCAGAUGGUGUAUGUGGUGCUCCACCUCCUCAGCUCAGCGUCAACAGCUAAAGUUCACUCAACUUUAGACUUUAGAGCAGGCCUCUGGUUCUCCUUCUUUGUUCUUCAACUUCCUCUGAAGUGACACUCCUGGUCUCACGCGCUGUGGGUUCGGGCCGGGCUUUGAUAGCGGACACUGGUCCCGGUGCGGGUCCAGAAGCUUCCAGAGGAUGAAGGUGAGGAAGAGGAGCGGACGGUGAUGAUGCGGAGCCGCCGUGUCUGCUCCGCUCUGCUGCUGCUGGGGGUCCUGGUCCUCUUCUACCACACCAGAACCCUGGUACAGAACCACUACCAGGUCCAACAGGAGGCCCAGAGGACGGAGAGCCUGGUCCAGGACUCCUCUACUCAUCUCCGGGCCGUGAUUCUGACAGGGCGUUUGUCUACAUCUGACACCGAAGUCCAGCUUUACAUGAGGGUUUUACAUCAGAUGGGCUACAAGGUCCAGCUGAGAGGACAGACAGGUGUGAGUGGUUGGAGUCUACUGCUGUGUGUUAGCAGUGCUGAGUUCAACUGCCGAAGAAGGAUACCUUUAACUCACCUGAAACGUCAUCAGAUGGUGAGACUUGAAUAAUUUUACUUCCUGUGUGAGAAGCCCCAAGCACUCCCCUCAAAAAGGGGAGCGCUAUAUAUUACUUACUGUAUAUUAAAGAUGUUCAAUAAUAUAGUUUUCCCAAUAUGCCAAUAUUUUUCAAUAGAUUUCCGAUAUUCACCAAUAUACAAAAUCACAUAGACCUGCUUCCUCUUAAACCUCCCUCUCACAUUAAAUAUACAGUAACUCCAUGGAAAUAACAGGUUAAGUAUACUUUUAAUGUGAUGCCGCUCUGGAUAUGUGUCACAAAUAAACAUCAUCAAUGCAAAGAAUUCUAUUCA